GACAGAGGGUGCGAACGUUGUUCGGAAUUACUGGGCGUAAAGCGCAUGUAGGCGGCAGCGCAAGUCGGGCGUGAAAUCCCACGGCUCAACCGUGGAAGUGCACUCGAAACUGCGCAGCUAGAGUCCUGGAGAGGAAGGUGGAAUGCUUGGUGUAGAGGUGAAAUUCGUAGAUAUUGGGAAGAACACCGGUGGCGAAGGCGGCGACCUGGUCCGAUACUGACGCUGAGGCGCGAAAGCGUGGGGAGCAAACAGG
RNAcentral lists this ribosomal RNA (253 nucleotides) under uncultured bacterium. Its description in RNAcentral is "partial 16S ribosomal RNA". It matches the Rfam family "Bacterial small subunit ribosomal RNA", at positions 524 to 776 of the family's 1533-position model. The record is from RNAcentral.